CACGGGGGGCCUACGGGAGGCAGCAGUGGGGAAUCUUGCGCAAUGGGCGAAAGCCUGACGCAGCAACGCCGCGUGCGGGAAGAAGGCUUUCGGGCUGUAAACCGCUUUCAGCAGGAACGAAAAUGACGGUACCUGCAGAAGAAGGAGCGGCCAACUAUGUGCCAGCAGCCGCGGUGAUACAUAGGCUUCAAGCGUUGUCCGGAUUUAUUGGGCGUAAAGAGUUCGUAGGCGGUCGAGUAAGUCGGGUGUGAAAAUUCUGGGCUCAACCCAGAGACGCCACCCGAUACUGCUUAACUUGAGUUCGAUAGGGGAGUGGGGAAUUCCUAGUGUAGCGGUGAAAUGCGCAGAUAUUAGGAGGAACACCGGUGGCGAAGGCGCCACUCUGGAUCGACACUGACGCUGAGGAACGAAAGCAUGGGUAGCAAACAGGAUUAGAUACCCUGGUAGUCCAUGCGGUAAACGGUGGGCACUAGGUGUGGGUUUCUAUUAACGAAAUCCGCGCCGUCGCUAACGCAUUAAGUGCCCCGCCUGGAGACCCAAU
This 541-nucleotide ribosomal RNA is filed under the name uncultured Actinomycetes bacterium. RNAcentral describes it as "bacterial SSU rRNA". It matches the Rfam family "Bacterial small subunit ribosomal RNA", at positions 329 to 885 of the family's 1533-position model. The record is from RNAcentral. Lineage: Bacteria; Bacillati; Actinomycetota; Actinomycetes.